Molecule: ribosomal RNA, 253 nt
Filed under: uncultured bacterium
Lineage: Bacteria
Description: partial 16S ribosomal RNA
Rfam family: Bacterial small subunit ribosomal RNA
Source: RNAcentral
UACGGAGGGAGCUAGCGUUGUUCGGAAUUACUGGGCGUAAAGCGCACGUAGGCGGCUUUGUAAGUUAGAGGUGAAAGCCCGGAGCUCAACUCCGGAACUGCCUUUAAGACUGCAUCGCUUGAAUCCAGGAGAGGUGAGUGGAAUUCCGAGUGUAGAGGUGAAAUUCGUAGAUAUCGGGAGGAACACCAGUGGCGAAGGCGGCGAUCUGGGAAGAUACUGACGCUGAGGUGCGAAAGCGUGGGGAGCAAACAGG